UACGGAGGGGGCUAGCGUUGUUCGGAAUUACUGGGCGUAAAGGGCGCGUAGGCGGCGUCGUAAGUCAGGCGUGAAAGGCCCGGGCUCAACCCGGGAACUGCGCUUGAUACUGCGGCGCUCGAGUCCGGGAGAGGAUGGCGGAAUUCCCAGUGUAGAGGUGAAAUUCGUAGAUAUUGGGAAGAACACCGGUGGCGAAGGCGGCCAACUGGCCCAUUACUGACGCUGAGGUGCGAAAGCGUGGGGAGCAAACAGG
RNAcentral lists this ribosomal RNA (253 nucleotides) under uncultured bacterium. RNAcentral describes it as "partial 16S ribosomal RNA". It matches the Rfam family "Bacterial small subunit ribosomal RNA", at positions 524 to 776 of the family's 1533-position model. The record is from RNAcentral.